Long non-coding RNA from Lycium barbarum (goji berry), 813 nucleotides. RefSeq lists it as uncharacterized. The record is from RefSeq and is a predicted model, not a curated record. NCBI's taxonomy places the organism in Eukaryota, Viridiplantae, Streptophyta, Magnoliopsida, Solanales, Solanaceae. The transcript has 5 exons.
UUCUAGAUCGUUCCCUUCGUCCCUCUUUCCUCUCACUUCCAGAUUAAAAGAGAACCAAAACUCAAAAAUUUCUAACCAGAGGAAUAGGCAAAGUACUCGGCAUCUUCCUCAAACCUCUUCUUAUCCAAACAAAAAAAGCUAUAGGAUUCGAGGGAAAACAAGUCCUCUUUUCAAUAAAAUGGUCUAAUCAUUCUUCUCAUUUUAAUUUUUGAUUUGUUGGAGUAUGCAUAUGUGGGUUUUUUGUUGAAAGAUUACUAACGUUCACCAUAUGGUUGAAAAAAUGUCUGCUAGAAAAUCAUACUUUGUUAGCACUGGUAAACUAUUUAGCUGAAUGUAGUCUUGAAAUCUUUAAUGAUCAAUCUGCUAUUGCAUUAUCAGAGAUGCUUUGUUAGAUGGUUGGAUGUGCAUUAAUAUUCAUCUGGCUUAGAACAAGGGGCUUCGGGGCUGAAGAAUGCAUGGAAUUUUCAAGGAAGCAAUUGUUCGUUUUGCUUAUUUUGGUGGAGAAGGGGUCUCGAGGAAUAAGGGAUACAACAAUGCUAGCUUGGAAGUGGUUUGAACUUUGAAGUGGAUCCAUGGGCACAUCUAGAUUUUAUCCUAAAAGCUUACAAUCGAUCAAAUGAAGAUGUUUGACCAGCUUUCUUCAGUCAAGACGGUCAAGUUUCUAAAAUUCAGAAGAAAAAUAAGUAGUAAAGAAAUUCAACAGUUGAUAAUUAAAUGGGGAUUUUUUUUUCUUUAUAGAGUCUGAGAAUAAUGAACUUACGAACAUUCCAUACUUGGAUAAUGAAUAUAUUGGGAUUUAGUCCUUUAUUGUCA